GUUGCGUGUUGCUGCGAGUGUUGUGAUGGUGCAUUACUGACAAGUGUGUGAUGGGUAGAAAGUUCUCAAAAACGAUAACUUUUGCGACGUUACCCAUAUUAAUGUGUGUAUUUUUCGUUCUGGAGAGUUCUAACAACACGAGAGAAGAUUCGCAUGAAUGAAGGACUCAGACAUGAAAGCAAGGGCAAGACUUCGACGAAUACCGUGUUAAAAUUAAUAGAGUAGUGAGUAGCAAUAUUUUGUGUCACGUAUUGGUGAAAUUAAUGUUCGUGGUUUAACGACAGAUGGAGUGAAGUGAUAUAUAUGUAAAUGAAUUGAAAAAGCAAGACAGGAAAAGGAAUGAGACAACGUGCAAAGAGGCUGCUGCAACACAUGUUUCGUGCCGUUUACGUGGAAUCGUACGUCUUUGUACUUAAGGAGACGACGUUGAGGACUCAGCGUAUUAUUCAGAUGUGGCUGUGAUAUUGAAAAUCUUUUCUCUCUUUCUCCGCCAGUUGACAACAACAAGAACAGAAAAAUUCGUUCAAGAAUUUAAUUCUGAAGUUAUUCGAGCGAUUAAAGGAUUUCAUCGACGUACGAAGACAACCGACAAAAGACCAUUCUCGGGACGGAUAUUUCUGACCCGUGUUAGAUAGCAACUUCAUGGCUGUAGUUGGUCCUAGCAGACACUCCAGAGUGUCCAUGUCCGUGUCGAUGCCGCUCAUGCCUGGCGGGGGAGGAGGGGGAGGACACCAACAAGCCAUAUUAGCAGCUGCCCAGCCUUAUUACCACCCACAACAUUCUCACCAAACGCCAGCAACGCCUGCACAUUCUCACACACAGGAUGUGCAACCGGAUAGACCAAUCGGUUAUGGAGCUUUCGGAGUCGUUUGGGCGGUGACGGACCCGAGGGACGGGCGGCGCGUCGCGCUCAAGAAGCUGCCCAACGUCUUCCAGUCGCUCGUCUCGUCCAAGCGCGUCUUCCGCGAGCUCAAGAUGCUCUGCUUCUUCAAGCACGAGAACGUGCUGUCCGCGUUGGACAUCCUCCAGCCGCCGCACCUGGACUUCUUCCAGGAAAUCUAUGUCAUCACGGAGCUCCUGCAGAGUGAUCUACACAAAAUAAUAGUAUCUCCCCAGCACCUGUCCGCCGACCACAUCAAAGUCUUCCUCUACCAGAUCCUCAGAGGUCUGAAAUACCUGCAUUCUGCACGCAUCUUGCACCGUGAUAUAAAACCGGGGAACCUACUUGUCAACAGCAAUUGUGUCCUCAAGAUCUGCGACUUCGGGUUGGCACGCGUAGAGGAGCCAGACCAGUCAAAGCACAUGACUCAGGAGGUGGUGACACAGUACUACCGGGCGCCUGAAAUACUGAUGGGCGCGCGACACUACUCCGCUGCCGUAGACGUCUGGAGCGUCGGCUGCAUCUUCGGGGAGCUUCUUGGGCGACGCAUCCUCUUUCAAGCGCAGAGCCCAGUCCAACAGCUGGAGUUAAUAACGGAACUACUUGGCACACCGUCACUGGAAGACAUGCGGUACGCUUGUGACGGGGCACGAACCCACAUGCUGCGACGUGCACCAAAGCCGCCCUCCAUGGCUGCCCUAUACACCCUCUCCUCACAGGCCACGCAUGAGGCAGUGCACCUGCUGUGCCAGAUGCUGGUUUUUGACCCUGACAAACGAAUAACAGUUGGUGAUGCUCUGGCUCACCCGUACUUGGACGAGGGCCGCUUAAGAUACCACUCCUGCAUGUGCAAGUGUUGCUACACGACUCCGGGAGGCCUCAGGCAGUACACACCGGACUUCGAGCCUGUUGCACCCCACAGCUUUGAUGAUCUGUGGGAGAAGAAGCUGACUUCUGUUCAGCAGGUCAAAGAGGAAAUGCACAAGUUUAUUGCAGAACAACUGAAUACCAGUAGAGUCCCGUUGUGCAUUAAUCCUCAAUCUGCAGCUUUCAAGAGUUUUGCCAGGUAAGGCUGCAACCACAGCCACAAGAGGCAAACAUCUGGAGGGCCUUCUCUUCUCCUACUUCAUCCCUUCCCCGAUAAUGAUCGAUAAAGCUCUAUGUCGUACUCCGGACAUGCUGAGAGGCUCUACAGUUGCCCACCCGUCUGAACUACCUCCCUCGCCCCAUCAAUGGGAGUGACGCUAUCCUCAUCCUAGCAUCCAAUUGUGAAAAUGUCUAGAAUAUUCUCGUUCUCGCCCGGUUGUUGGGUUGCUUCUCUUCCACAUGUGGCAGCCGAGUGGGGUAUGGUUUGCACCUAAUGCAAAUUAAUAACUUAACAUACCUGAAUUUUGAUUCCAGACUAAUCUUCACAAACUAACGUUUCUAAACGUGGUGGUGAAGUGUGUAGGAGUGUGGCUGUUGGGAGAGUAAGGACACAUCAUGAUGGCAACCGUCAAAAAUAAAAGAUUUCGUAUUGUUGGUAAAUACUAAUAAACAAAUUGGGAAGUGUAAAUAGUGAACUGUGCCUCUGUAUAUACCGAGAUGUGAUUGUAUUAAUGAUGCCAUUACAUGCAAUCAGUGCAGUGUUAAUGAACAAGUGAAAAUGUGUGUGACAGUCAUUUGAUAUUUGCUUGAAAAUGUGGUAUUAACUCUGACAGGCCUGUUCAGAGAGUAACCGUGUCAAGUGGCAAAAGAAGUGUGUGUUCAUUAGUACUGAUUGAACACUGUAUUCAAACUGUGUGUGUGUGUGUGUGUGUGUGUGUGUGUGUGUGUGUGUGUGUGUGUGUGUGCGUGCACACAUGUGCGCCAGUGGAUUUGUACACAAAAUAAUGGUAUCUGCCUAGUAUCUGGAAGGCAGUUUCAUGGUAAAUCAGUGCAUUUGAUACAAAAUUUAUUUGACUGUUAAUUUAUCUACUUAAUAAGGCAUGUAUCUUUAUUUAUGUAUUGUAAAAAUAUUUAGUGGUGAGUUAUCAUAUAUAUCUGAGACUGCAGUGCAUUCAAAUUUUCUGGUGUUUGAAUAGUGAGAUCUGAAAUUGGUUUCUUUCAGUUACUGCAUUGCUUCUUCCUUAUCUGUGUCCUAACUCAUAAAACACUUUCUUGAUAUGUCUGUAGUUCCAGUUGGCUAACACGUUUCCUUGUCUUAUUUCACCUUCAUUAUAGUUGUAGCAUAAAUUUAAGUGCUGCUUAAGUUGUGGGCAUAGCAAGAUGCAUAGUAACUGUUAGUGUAGGAGACUAAGUUAACUGAUGGGGAAAUAUCUGAUACUGAUGUUCAUAAAGUAGU
RNA transcript from Schistocerca americana (American grasshopper), 3203 nucleotides. It is a transcript of the gene named serine/threonine-protein kinase NLK, with no coding region annotated. The record is from RefSeq and is a predicted model, not a curated record. Lineage: Eukaryota; Metazoa; Arthropoda; Insecta; Orthoptera; Acrididae. The transcript is spliced from 10 exons.